AUUAUACUCAGAUGUAACAUGGACAACUGCAAUUUUUUUUUAAACUCCAGCAGGAACUCAUGUUGGUUGAACAUUAAUAUACAAAUUGUAUUGCAGCAAAGAAGUAGAAAAGGAAGGUCAAAGAUGGGAAACUUCUAAGCAGCACUUUAAUAAACAAAUAAAGGUACAGAAUCAUUGAAGUCACUGAUGUGGUUUGCAAGUUGUCUCAUUCUGUGCUGUGAAUCAAUCAAGCUGCACAAGGGGUCAGUGAAUCAGUACACCACUCUACUUUGUGGGACCUCAGGGAUUCAAGGAAUGUCGAUCCAUGGUCCUAUUCCACUGAGGCCACAGCAUCCACAGUGUUGUCAUAAGAACUGCUUCAGAAAAAUUCUUAAAGAUACAAGUUCACAAAUAAAUUUUCAACUUUCAUCCUCAA
This 415-nucleotide long non-coding RNA is filed under the name Numida meleagris (helmeted guineafowl). RNAcentral's name for it is "lncRNA (ENSNMEG00000000579.1)". The record is from RNAcentral. Lineage: Eukaryota; Metazoa; Chordata; Aves; Galliformes; Numididae.